RNAcentral lists this ribosomal RNA (253 nucleotides) under uncultured bacterium. RNAcentral describes it as "partial 16S ribosomal RNA". It matches the Rfam family "Bacterial small subunit ribosomal RNA", at positions 524 to 776 of the family's 1533-position model. The record is from RNAcentral.
UACGUAGGUGGCGAGCGUUGUCCGGAUUUACUGGGCGUAAAGAGCGCGCAGGCGGCUGGUCAAGUCCGAUGUGAAAGCUCCCGGCUUAACUGGGAAAUUGCAUCGGAAACUGAUCGGCUGGAAGGUGGGAGAGGGUAGCGGAAUUCCCGGUGUAGUGGUGAAAUGCGUAGAUAUCGGGAGGAACACCAGUGGCGAAAGCGGCUACCUGGCCCAUUCUUGACGCUGAGGCGCGAAAGCUAGGGGAGCAAGCGGG